UUUCCGAAUGGGGAAACCCAGUGUGAUUCGUCACACUAUCAUUAACUGAAUCCAUAGGUUAAUGAGGCGAACCGGGGGAACUGAAACAUCUAAGUACCCCGAGGAAAAGAAAUCAACCGAGAUUCCCCCAGUAGCGGCGAGCGAACGGGGAGGAGCCCAGAGCCUGAAUCAGCAUGUGUGUUAGUGGAAGCGUCUGGAAAGGCGCGCGAUACAGGGUGACAGCCCCGUACACAAAAGCGCAUGUGCUGUGAGCUCGAUGAGUAGGGCGGGACACGUGGUAUCCUGUCUGAAUAUGGGGGGACCAUCCUCCAAGGCUAAAUACUCCUGACUGACCGAUAGUGAACCAGUACCGUGAGGGAAAGGCGAAAAGAACCCCGGCGAGGGGAGUGAAAAAGAACCUGAAACCGUGUACGUACAAGCAGUGGGAGCACCCUUCGGGGUGUGACUGCG
This 450-nucleotide ribosomal RNA is filed under the name Salmonella enterica subsp. enterica serovar Typhimurium. RNAcentral describes it as "partial 23S ribosomal RNA". It matches the Rfam family "Bacterial large subunit ribosomal RNA", at positions 111 to 601 of the family's 2925-position model. Lineage: Bacteria; Pseudomonadati; Pseudomonadota; Gammaproteobacteria; Enterobacterales; Enterobacteriaceae. The record is from RNAcentral.